Triticum aestivum (bread wheat) is the source of this 502-nucleotide long non-coding RNA. RefSeq lists it as uncharacterized. Lineage: Eukaryota; Viridiplantae; Streptophyta; Magnoliopsida; Poales; Poaceae. The record is from RefSeq and is a predicted model, not a curated record. The transcript has 3 exons.
CCAUGAAUUCAUGCUUGUACAUUGCUAGUUAUUGAUUUUUUUGCAAGUCUUCUUCUUCCUCGAUCUUGUGCAGCAGCAACAAUUCAAGGUCAUGGUCAUGGAGCAGCAGCCAUAUAUUUUUCUUCUUAUUCCUCCCUGAGAUGACAUGAGAUGAGGCUCUGUUGGUCGGUCUUCAAUUCUUCAUGCUGCUGCUGCUACUGCUACAUGAGGACCCUCUUCAAUUCUGCAUCCGUUGCGGCCGCCGCAGCUUCCACCUCUACCCGGCCGCAUUCGCAAGUAUGCUGGCAUUUCAUUCAGGACAAAGAAGUUGGAUGAAGCAUAGUUUUACCUCAUUGAGCUAGUUCUGGGAGUAACGAACUCCUUGUAGCAGAACUUGUACGUGUGCUAGUUCUGGGAGCUGAUCCUAUUUGUGUGUUAUAUGAUGAAGCAGAACUUGUAGGGCUCCUGUGAUAGACUUGGGCUGUAUGUGUGUAAUCUAAUUAUAAACUUGAUGCUGAUCACA